RNAcentral lists this long non-coding RNA (143 nucleotides) under Cricetulus griseus (Chinese hamster). RNAcentral describes it as "lncRNA (ENSCGRG00000024753.1)". Lineage: Eukaryota; Metazoa; Chordata; Mammalia; Rodentia; Cricetidae. The record is from RNAcentral.
AGACAAGUGAGCACAGUGGGAAAGUGGCUUGCUUCUGCUAUGGCUCCCUGGCACUUGCUGACUGGAUGCUUGAAGCUGGAUGACAGGCAGCUCUGGAGAAGAAACCUUCAUGUCAUCUGUCGGGUACUCGACCGGAAAUAAAC